RNAcentral lists this ribosomal RNA (319 nucleotides) under uncultured Pseudomonadota bacterium. Its description in RNAcentral is "bacterial SSU rRNA". It matches the Rfam family "Bacterial small subunit ribosomal RNA", at positions 30 to 351 of the family's 1533-position model. Lineage: Bacteria; Pseudomonadati; Pseudomonadota. The record is from RNAcentral.
AUUGAACGCUGGCGGCAUGCCUUACACAUGCAAGUCGAACGGUAACGCGGGGCAACCUGGCGACGAGUGGCGAACGGGUGAGUAAUAUAUCGGAACGUGCCCAGUUGUGGGGGAUAACUACUCGAAAGAGUAGCUAAUACCGCAUACGACCUGAGGGUGAAAGCGGGGGAUCGCAAGACCUCGCGCAAUUGGAGCGGCCGAUAUCAGAUUAGCUAGUUGGCGGGGUAAAAGCCCACCAAGGCGACGAUCUGUAGCUGGUCUGAGAGGACGACCAGCCACACUGGGACUGAGACACGGCCCAGACUCCUACGGGUGGCUG